This 236-nucleotide ribosomal RNA is filed under the name uncultured Acanthamoeba. RNAcentral's name for it is "partial 18S ribosomal RNA". It matches the Rfam family "Eukaryotic small subunit ribosomal RNA", at positions 97 to 279 of the family's 1831-position model. The record is from RNAcentral. Lineage: Eukaryota; Discosea; Longamoebia; Acanthamoebidae.
CUCAUUAAAUCAGUUAUAGUUUAUUUGAUGGUCUCUUUGUUCUUCUUUUUUACCUACUUGGAUAACCGUGGUAAUUCUAGAGCUAAUACAUGCGCAAAGGUCCCGAGCGCGGAGAGUGGGGCUUCACGGCUCCAUUCUUGCAUGCGUAGAGGGAUGUAUUUUAUUAGGUUAAAACAACCAGCAUUUUUAACAAUCAAUCUGGUGAUUCAUAGUAACUCUUUCGGAUCGCAUUCAUG